Molecule: ribosomal RNA, 771 nt
Filed under: uncultured bacterium
Lineage: Bacteria
Description: bacterial SSU rRNA
Rfam family: Bacterial small subunit ribosomal RNA
Source: RNAcentral
AGAGUUUGAUCAUGGCUCAGGACGAACGCUGGCGGCGUGCUUAACACAUGCAAGUCGAACGGAAAGGCCCUUCGGGGUGCUCGAGUGGUGAACGGGUGAGUAACACGUGGGUGAUCUGCCCUGCACUUUGGGAUAAGCCUGGGAAACUGGGUCUAAUACCGAAUAUGACCAUGCGCCUCCUGGUGUGUGGUGGAAAGCUUUUGCGGUGUGGGAUGGGCCCGCGGCCUAUCAGCUUGUUGGUGGGGUAAUGGCCUACCAAGGCGACGACGGGUAGCCGGCCUGAGAGGGUGACCGGCCACACUGGGACUGAGAUACGGCCCAGACUCCUACGGGAGGCAGCAGUGGGGAAUAUUGCACAAUGGGCGCAAGCCUGAUGCAGCGACGCCGCGUGAGGGAUGACGGCCUUCGGGUUGUAAACCUCUUUCAGCACAGACGAAGCGCAAGUGACGGUAUGUGCAGAAGAAGGACCGGCCAACUACGUGCCAGCAGCCGCGGUAAUACGUAGGGUCCGAGCGUUGUCCGGAAUUACUGGGCGUAAAGAGCUCGUAGGUGGUUUGUCGCGUUGUUCGUGAAAACUCACAGCUUAACUGUGGGCGUGCGGGCGAUACGGGCAGACUUGAGUACUGCAGGGGAGACUGGAAUUCCUGGUGUAGCGGUGGAAUGCGCAGAUAUCAGGAGGAACACCGGUGGCGAAGGCGGGUCUCUGGGCAGUAACUGACGCUGAGGAGCGAAAGCGUGGGGAGCAAACAGGAUUAGAUACCCCGGUAGUCC